UUGCCAGUGACUGAGGACGUGUUCGGAUGUACCCGCAUUUGUAGAGUAUGGACGGACAUUGUUCAAACCUUUUAUGAGAUGAAGUCGAUAACUGAUCCGUGCAUAGAUGCAUAUAUCAUAUACUUAUACAAGAACUUGGUGACGAAAGGUGCAUCUCAUAUGUACAAAUUUCUUGAUGCUGGGUCAAUAUCGACAUCCAAUCUUUCAAAAGAAGCACGAACGGAGAAUUUGACAAAACGACUUAUGCAAAUGGAGUCGGGUCAGUUGCUUCUUGCUCCCUACAACAGUGGGUAAGUCCUUUUCAUUAAUAUAGCUAUUGUGGUAUGUAUGUCUAAUUUAACUGAUUUUAUAAUUUAUUUGGAAUGCAUAGAUCAGAUUGGAUAUUAAUAGUCAUUCAUUACUCGAAGACCAUGGUGUAUUCAAUCAACCCUUUGAGAAAUCGUCUGGACAAUGAUAUAAUGGAUGUCGUCAACCGGGCUUUGAAUAAGUGCAACAAAGUAAAGGUACAUUGGAAGUGUGUAAAGCUUAGUGUUUGGGAAAUGCCUUGUUGUGUCCAUAGUGCCCAAGACAACCUGGCUCAACAGAAUGUGGGUAUUACG
Molecule: non-coding RNA, 599 nt
Organism: Momordica charantia (bitter melon)
Lineage: Eukaryota; Viridiplantae; Streptophyta; Magnoliopsida; Cucurbitales; Cucurbitaceae
Source: RefSeq, a predicted model, not a curated record